This is a non-coding RNA of Bactrocera oleae (olive fruit fly), 2164 nucleotides long. The record is from RefSeq and is a predicted model, not a curated record. NCBI's taxonomy places the organism in Eukaryota, Metazoa, Arthropoda, Insecta, Diptera, Tephritidae.
AGGAACAGCCGCUUAUUUAAUCAAUAAACAAUACUUUUUGAAGUUUUUCAUGAAAAUGAAAAUAAAAACAUUUUUUGUGUAAAAAUAAUUUUACUAUUUUUAAAGCUUCGAUUGCCAUCACAGCGAUGAAAUUGCAGGUUUACGCUUAAAUAAAUUUAAUAAAAAUAAAAUAAGCAAAGUUAUAAAAAAUAUAAUGUAUUCAAAAACCGUACAUUUCGACAUACGCCCCAUUCAACAGUGAAUAUAUGCAAAUAACUCAUUCCAUUUAAAAAUCUGUUUAUUUAUAUAUUUCGUUUAAUGCUAACAUAAAACCUUGCAAACAAGGCAAUUAAGGCAUUCAUUUUAAACUUUCUCACUAUUUAAAUACAAGAGAAAAAAUAAAAGAUAUGCAAAAACAAUAGCAAUAACAACAAUAACAACGAAACAACAAAGGCAUAAGCAAAGACAAACACAAACACAAUGAAAGCAAAAGCAGACUGCAGAAAAGUAAAAUAACAACAACAACGCAAUGCAAACAAACAAAAAACAAAAAAAAAUUACCGUUUGUUUUGCAAAUGAAACCCAAAAAUGGAGAUUUCCUGCCUGAAAACAAAGAAGUAAUAAAAUAAUGUAAAUUAAAGAAAUUUCACAGAAAAAAAAUCGGAAAAUAUUUUAGGUGAAGAGAAAAAAACAAAUAAAAAUUCAAAAAUAGGUGGAUAUGAAGAAGAAAAUUGGCAAUGGGAUUUAUGCAAAUGUGAGCUUAAAUGUAAGAUGGUGAAUGAAAGUUGGCACGAAAUUUUGUGCAUGUAUUUUAUUAUUUACACGGCAACAAUAUGUAUAAAGAAGUAGAAGAAGAGAUAAUAGUAAACACAAAGUGGCAACAACAAGGCGACACAGUUACAAAAGUCAAAACUCAAAACUAAAAAGGAAAAUAAUAAAUCAUAAAUAAAUGACUUUUGCAACAAAUUCGGCGCAGAAAUAUGCACAAAAGCGACACAGAGACUGCGCAGAUUUUUUCACUGCUUUCCUGGUUGGUCGGACUUCCACUAUAUUUAGUAAUUUAACACGCCAUUUUGGUAAUACAAGCUCUACGAAAAAAAAUUAACUAUGAAUAUUAAUCGCACCUAAGCAUGCGAGCAACAGAAAAAAGUGCCCAAGAAAUGCGCCAAAGAUGCUGAAUGAAGGGAACUGAGAGAAUGAGGAAGGGCCUCAGCAUGCAGCAAACAGCAACAACAAAAAGUGAAACAGAGGAAAAAAAAUUAUGGUGAACUGAAUUUGUGUAAUUUAUGGACCCAAUUCUGUGUGCAUAUUUUUAGCACACAACAAAAACAACAACAAUAGCAAUUUAACCGCAGAUCAGCAAGCCCAAGACGCGUGCACAUACGCAGAAAUGCCUGUUGUACCUUCGGCAGAAAAACUUUCGCACAUUUUACCAAAAACAUGCAAAUCCAAUGCAAAUAUGAUUAUCUGCUCAUUUCCCGUCUAUAGCUCGGCUUCAAUAGGAAGCGGUACAUUAAAGCGCGAACAAAAGAUUAGACCAUAAAACAAAAAGAACAACCAAAUUUAUGGCUUAUGCACGCCAACAAUAGAAACAAAGCACUUUAUCUGCUGGCUUCAUCAGCGUAUAGUUUGUGAAAAAGAGUCGAAUUUGGAAGAAAAAGGCCGAGGCAGCGAUAAUUUUAACCGAGUUUCGCAUGCAAUUAAAACUAAUUUGCAUAAUUUUGGUAAAUUUGGUGGCAACUAGCAACAACGCCUGCGCGAAAACGGAAAAAGAAAGGUUAACACGAAAUUUCAUUGGCAUUUUCACUUUCAUUAGAAGCGCUCGAGUGGCACAACCGGUCAAGCGAGCGGUCAUUUGGUCAGAAAGUGAAAAAGAACAACAACAAUUAAAUGAAAUAUGUAUGUGAAAGAGUAGAAGUUAGCGCGAAGGGAGUGCUGCGCAUGCGCAUAGUAGCAGCGACGCGAUUGCUCAAUUCAGUUGGGACUACGACAACGCAUUGUCAGCUGGCGUUGCUCGCGUUAGUUGUCGGCGUUAAUGAUACCAUAUUGCGUGUAUAUGUAUGUAAAGAACAGUGGAAGAAAGAGGAAAAAAGUCAGCAAGCAAUCAUACCAAAAUUCAAAUAAAAAAUGUAAUUUAAAUCUUUUAAGUUGCCAUACCUUGUAUACCUAUAUUAACACACAUAGG